CGGAAGAAGGUACGCGCUAAUACCGCGGACUAAUGACGGUACCCGAAGAAUAAGCACCGGCUAACUACGUGCCAGCAGCCGCGGUAAUACGUAGGGUGCAAGCGUUAAUCGGAAUUACUGGCACGUAAAGCGUGCGCAGGCGGCUUUGCAAGACAGAUGUGAAAUCCGGGCUUAACCUGGGAACUGCAUUUGUGACUGCAUGGCUGGAGUGCGGCAGACGGGGAUCCG
This 228-nucleotide ribosomal RNA is filed under the name uncultured Piscinibacter sp. RNAcentral describes it as "partial 16S ribosomal RNA". It matches the Rfam family "Bacterial small subunit ribosomal RNA", at positions 442 to 665 of the family's 1533-position model. Lineage: Bacteria; Pseudomonadati; Pseudomonadota; Betaproteobacteria; Burkholderiales; Sphaerotilaceae. The record is from RNAcentral.